CUUGGUGACUCUAGCGAGGCUGCCCCACCCGUUCCCAUCCCGAACACGGUAGUGAACUGCCUCAGCGCCGACGAUACUGCUGGCGAGAGCGAGUGGGACAAUAGGUCGUUGCCAGGG
Molecule: ribosomal RNA, 117 nt
Filed under: Dehalococcoidia bacterium
Lineage: Bacteria; Bacillati; Chloroflexota; Dehalococcoidia
Source: RNAcentral